UUUGUCUACGGGGGGCAGCAGUGAGGAAUAUUGGUCAAUGGCCGAGAGGCUGAACCAGCCAAGUCGCGUGAGGGAUGACGGCCCUACGGGUUGUAAACCUCUUUUGUCGGGGAGCAAGACCCGCCUCGUGCAGGCGGAGCGAGAGUACCCGAAGAAAAAGCAUCGGCUAACUCCGUGCCAGCAGCCGCGGUAAUACGGAGGAUGCGAGCGUUAUCCGGAAUGAUUGGGCGUAAAGGGUGCGUAGGCGGCCUGCUAAGUCUGGAGUGAAAGGUACCGGCUCAACCGGUACAGGCUCUGGAAACUGG
This 305-nucleotide ribosomal RNA is filed under the name uncultured bacterium. RNAcentral's name for it is "bacterial SSU rRNA". It matches the Rfam family "Bacterial small subunit ribosomal RNA", at positions 334 to 636 of the family's 1533-position model. The record is from RNAcentral.